UGGGGGAUAUUGCACAAUGGGCGAAAGCCUGAUGCAGCGACGCCGCGUGGGGGAUGAAGGCCUUCGGGUUGUAAACUUCUUUUGCCCUGAACAAGGCAUGCUAAUGGGUGUGUUGAGUGUAGGGGUUGAUUAGCGCCGGCUAACUACGUGCCAGCAGCCGCGGUAAUACGUAGGGCGCGAGCGUUGUCCGGAAUUAUUGGGCGUAAAGGGCUUGUAGGUGGCUGGUUGCGUCUGUCGUGAAAGCUCAUGGCUUAACGGUGGGUUUGCGGUGGGUACGGGCUGGCUUGAGUGCAGUAGGGGAGGCUGGAAUUCCUGGUGUAGCGGUGGAAUGCGUAGAUAUCAGGAGGAAUACCGGUGGAGAAGGCGGGUCUCUGGGCUGUUACUGACACUGAGGAGCGAAAGCAUGGGGAGCGAACAGG
This 419-nucleotide ribosomal RNA is filed under the name bacterium. RNAcentral's name for it is "partial 16S ribosomal RNA". It matches the Rfam family "Bacterial small subunit ribosomal RNA", at positions 355 to 776 of the family's 1533-position model. The record is from RNAcentral.